UCUCUCUCUUUCUCUUUCACACACAUACACACACACACACACACACUCGAACACACACACAGACUAAUUGUCUGUUAAGUUUCUUCUCCAAAUUUGCUAUAAACACAUAUGAUGGAAGAAUCUGUUAACAGGAUUCACAGUGACACCACAUCUAUAGGCCUUUAUACAGUGGCCCUGAGAGGCCAAAUGGACUGCAACUAAGGAAAACACCAGCAAUAACAAAAACGCUGCAAAAGCACACAAAACACAAUGGAAAUCGGAAAAAUGGAAAUGGAAAUAGGAAAAAAGAAAACAGAAAUUGAAAAAAACGGAAACAAAAAGAGGAAAAAAAUGAUUUCCAAUGCUGGGAGACACUUAAAAGAAGUGGAGGAUCUGUCGGUUUUGUGAGAAAAGAUGAGAGAUAAGUGUGUUAGCCUAAAAAUCCGUAUUGUAUUCUAUGAAUCGUGCGAUUAAAACACACUUACCUAGCAUGUUUUGAUUCCUGCAUCUGGUCCGUCAGGUUAUUGUCUCCCCAGAAACACUUCCCUUGUGCUUUUGGAAAUCUGUUUUUUCCUAUUUCUUUUUCCUAUUUCUGUUUUCUUUUUUCCUAUUUCCGUUUUCGUUUUUCUCUUAAGUUGUUCUCUUAAGUUGCAGUCCGUUUGGCCUCUCAGGGUCACCGUACCUUUACACACCUUACACGUAAAAUGUGGGUAAAUAUUUUGGGUCCUCAAAAUAUUUUUCUGACCCACCUAUUCUUAAUUCACACUGACUGUGUGACCAAUCAGACCACUACAUUUGGCAGUGCGCUUGUAGCUCAAAACGUGCACAGUACUGAAUAUACGAUGUUAUGGAAAUAGUAAAAUAAUACUAUUUUACCUCAGACACGGCUAAAUGCUGCUCUGAUUCAACUGUUUCUCUGAAACAUAUCUCUGCCUUCUCUGACGUGGUCCCAACUCUGUCCACAGCAGUUCAAACUGUCCCACUGACAUCCUGGAAAACGUACAAAUGCGAUCAUAAUGCAGCUUCAGCUCCUGGAUCAAAGCAUGAAAUUUUUC
Astatotilapia calliptera (eastern happy) is the source of this 1034-nucleotide long non-coding RNA. NCBI's taxonomy places the organism in Eukaryota, Metazoa, Chordata, Actinopteri, Cichliformes, Cichlidae. The record is from Ensembl.